Molecule: long non-coding RNA, 2347 nt
Organism: Salvelinus fontinalis (brook trout)
Lineage: Eukaryota; Metazoa; Chordata; Actinopteri; Salmoniformes; Salmonidae
Exons: 4
Source: RefSeq, a predicted model, not a curated record
CAGGUGCCAGAACCAAGCUGGCAGCACGACUCUUGUCGCGAUAUUUGGCAGCUGAGCGUGACAUGAUUCCGAGGAGAUGUUUUCUGCAGAUUAAUAUGGAUAUUUAUCAAUUUGAUACAUACCGAAGGCAGCAGCGAUCAUGUCUCAACACUGCAAACCCUAGGGAGUUUUUUAAGCACUUGACACCUUGGGUUCUGCCUCACCCACUCCAGGAUCCCCACUCACAGCAAGUCCUACAUUUAGAUGAUACAAAUGGAGUCUAACAGACAACGCUUUCAUAUUUGUUAAUUCACAUUCCAGCAAUCACAAAACAGCAAGAUGGUUGCUAGGUAAAUACUCAAUAACUAUUACCAUUCCAAACAACUAAUUCCACACUCUUUUUACCCCUUUACACUUGUAGGAAUUCACCUAUAUGGAUAGGGCUAAAUUGAAAUGUAUCAUACAGAAGAAUUAUGAAAAUGCAUAACCAUGGUAGCAAUUGAAAGGGAAGAGUUUGUAGAUAAUGGGAAAAUUAUUAGAUCAAAGGUGAGUACACAACAGUUCACCUGACACAAGACUGAAGACAAACAUUAUACUUUUGAUUUUAUGUACAUUUUACAUUUACUGUACAUUUACUGUAUCAUCCAAGUUCACUAGGCAAGUUGCCCAUGGAAGGACUCACAGUACCAUCUCCAUUAGUCUCUGGAAUGUUGCCGGAGCAUUGCCGAGUCCCAUUGGCCCACUUCCUGUUGUGAAUGCUGUCUUCUCACUUACUUGCUCCUCUAGCUCCACUUGCCAGUAAUGAUUCUGAAGGUCCAUUGUUGAGAACCAUGCGGAACCAGACAGUGCAUCCAAGGCAUAAUCGACUCUUGGCAGCCUGUUCGACCUUGGUCUUCUGAACUCUUGCUGAAGACAUCAGUGUACUUCUGCAGAUCAGUGUACUUGAGAAGUGAUUUCAGUGACUGAGCUUGAGCGCAGUCAUCUAUCAUCACAGGAGGUUCAGCAACAUCCAGGGAAUGUCAUGUGGCACAGCAUGUCUUCCACAACUGAGGUUUCAAGAGAUGAGGUGACAUGAAACUCACCCAAGUGUUGGCCACGAUGUAACUCAAUGUCACACAUGCACCACCGUCAUGCCAUUUUGAACGUUGUUAAAUGUGCAGGCACACGACAUCCCUAGUUGUGUUGAUCAUGAGGACGCCAACAUAGUCUGUUGGCACAGGAGAUGCCGCCGUAGCUCCUGCCACACAAGCUGUGAAGAUGGUCUCAGUCCUAGCAAGAAUCCGGAUUGAAGUCAGUACUGAGACUUCAUGUCCUUAAGGGAGUAGAGGGAGCUCCAUGUUUUACAAGAACAGCUGUUCCUAGCUACUAUCCAGUCGGGCAUGGUGCUGCUGCAGGAAAUCCCAGCCAAAUAUCACCGGAUGGCAGGCCCCUUUGACAACUUGAAACUCUUGCUGGAGUAGUUCUUUCCCUAGGCGAAUGCCUACUGACAUAGUGCCAAACACUGUCCAUUAACAGAGCGGGCUAGCAUAAAGGAUGUCUUCAUGGGGCACUUUUUCAGUGCUGGAUGGGAUGUUCUAAAAUCCUUACUGAUGAUGGAAAUAGUCAAUCCAUAGUCGAUCCUGUGUCAAGAAGAGAAGACACUUCAAUUUUCUUAAAGAUUGCAAGAAUGCUAGCUGAAACACCCACUGUGGAAACCAUCUUGUCAGGGGAGUCAACAGGGAGAAUUGAGGGGUGUCAACAGGGAGCUCUGGUGAACUAGCUGAUGUUUGCUCCCCAACAACGACUAGUGAUUGUUUCCCUGCCGUGUGAAACCAGACACGCUUGUCUGCCCAUAUCUGUCAGGGGACUGGAACCGUAAACUGCGGCUGGCAUGAGGCUUUCACCUCUAUCUCUUUGGAGUUGGACUCGGGCUGCUGUUUCGUCUGUCCCUUGCAUCAGACUGGUUCCUGUAGUCUGGAUAGUGAGCUCUUGGUGAGUAAUCUGGAGAGUAGUUGCGACGGCGUCCACCAUCAGAGUCUCAAUCUCGUCAGCCUUGGCAGUAUUCUGGAGAGGCAGGACGGUACUGGCGGUGAGGCGCUGGACCACGUCCAUGUCGUUAAGGUGAGUAGUAGGCUUUUGAUGGAGGUUGCGCUUGACAGUCUGGUGAGAACCCGCAUUCUCCUCUUGUAGCAUCAUUGGAUGGUAUGGAGGUCCUGUCGGCCCAGAAGCCCAAACAUUGAUGUGAUGUUCUGUUUUUCUCCUGUAGCUGGCAUACCUCACGCUUCAGGCCUUUCACAGUGAGCAUCAGCUGUUCCACAGCAUGAAGGAGCUUCUCAUCUGUGUCAUUAGAACGAACCAUAGCAACCUGGUCUGGGGUCUGUGCCACUGG